GCCUGGGUGGCUCAGUUAGUUGAGCUUCUGACUCUGGACUUUGGCUCAGGUCAUGAUCUCACAGUUUGUGGGUUCGAGCCCCACACUGGGCU
This 92-nucleotide transfer RNA is filed under the name Felis catus (domestic cat). It matches the Rfam family "tRNA". Rfam says of the family: Transfer RNA (tRNA) molecules are approximately 80 nucleotides in length. Their secondary structure includes four short double-helical elements and three loops (D, anti-codon, and T loops). Further hydrogen bonds mediate the characteristic L-shaped molecular structure. tRNAs have two regions of fundamental functional importance: the anti-codon, which is responsible for specific mRNA codon recognition, and the 3' end, to which the tRNAs corresponding amino acid is attached (by aminoacyl-tRNA synthetases). tRNAs cope with the degeneracy of the genetic code in two manners: having more than one tRNA (with a specific anti-codon) for a particular amino acid; and 'wobble' base-pairing, i.e. permitting non-standard base-pairing at the 3rd anti-codon position. Lineage: Eukaryota; Metazoa; Chordata; Mammalia; Carnivora; Felidae. The record is from Rfam by way of RNAcentral.